Molecule: ribosomal RNA, 569 nt
Filed under: Aspergillus flavus
Lineage: Eukaryota; Fungi; Ascomycota; Eurotiomycetes; Eurotiales; Aspergillaceae
Description: SSU rRNA
Rfam family: Eukaryotic small subunit ribosomal RNA
Source: RNAcentral
UUAAAAGCUCGUAGUUGAACCUUGGGUCUGGCUGGCCGGUCCGCCUCACCGCGAGUACUGGUCCGGCUGGACCUUUCCUUCUGGGGAACCUCAUGGCCUUCACUGGCUGUGGGGGGAACCAGGACUUUUACUGUGAAAAAAUUAGAGUGUUCAAAGCAGGCCUUUGCUCGAAUACAUUAGCAUGGAAUAAUAGAAUAGGACGUGCGGUUCUAUUUUGUUGGUUUCUAGGACCGCCGUAAUGAUUAAUAGGGAUAGUCGGGGGCGUCAGUAUUCAGCUGUCAGAGGUGAAAUUCUUGGAUUUGCUGAAGACUAACUACUGCGAAAGCAUUCGCCAAGGAUGUUUUCAUUAAUCAGGGAACGAAAGUUAGGGGAUCGAAGACGAUCAGAUACCGUCGUAGUCUUAACCAUAAACUAUGCCGACUAGGGAUCGGGCGGUGUUUCUAUGAUGACCCGCUCGGCACCUUACGAGAAAUCAAAGUUUUUGGGUUCUGGGGGGAGUAUGGUCGCAAGGCUGAAACUUAAAGAAAUUGACGGAAGGGCACCACAAGGCGUGGAGCCUGCGGCUUAAU